Non-coding RNA from Xyrichtys novacula (pearly razorfish), 5351 nucleotides. The record is from the annotation of a GenBank genome assembly. NCBI's taxonomy places the organism in Eukaryota, Metazoa, Chordata, Actinopteri, Labriformes, Labridae.
UUUUUUCAGCCUUGAGAAGUAUAAAAUUGCAACAUGGUUUACUUUGUGGCUAUACAGCACAUAAAUCCGUUCUUUUUUCACAUAUCAUGCUUUCUCUAAGGCUUCAUUUCUAAGUGAUUACACACACAUGGAUAUAAACAUACAAAUAAAUAGUGAAGUCAAUUUCUGCCAGUAAUGGCUCCAAAAUCCUCCCAAACUGAAACCUUUGGCUUUUGAACCAACAGCACUGUUAGGCACCUACAGGCAUGCUGCCAGGGAUUUAAGUCCCCAUAUGAUGUUCAAAUUACCUAACACUAGAGGAGGAAAAGAGGCUUGUUUUACUUCAACCUCAGCAGUUUUCCUCACAGCACCUUUCCUAAACUCACUUUCCAUUAAGAGAAACUGGAUAGCACACAGUUGGUCUUUUUUUGUACCUCCUUCUGUCUUUCUUUUCUUUUACAGGUGCACUGUUGCACUCCUCAUAUGGGCUAUGAAUGGAUAACCUACCUUAAUUUCUUCUCAUGGUGAUUGCAAGGUUUUUUCCAUUUAAGCUGCCACAUUUGUUGACAUUCAUCAAGUGUAUUUUAAUUUCAUAGUUUGAUCAAUGUCCUGUUUGUUAAUGUGAUUGAGGCUGAGUUUAUGACCUAUACUGCAGCAAGCCAGCAGGGGGAGCUCUGAAUCUUCGGGCUUCAGUGAGCACAUACUGCCUCCUUUUUAAUAUACACCCUGAAGUGAACUAUUUACUUGAGAUUUUGGGUCAGACUUACCAAUUUUGGAGGGUGGGUCAACAAAAGAAAAAGAUACUGUUCUGUUUAUCAGUACAUUGGCAAGAAAAUUCCCACUCGUGUGUUUUCAUAUAUAAAUAUCAUAUUGUAUCCUUAAGGGCCCCUGCCAAUCAUCCCAACUUUUCUUACUAUAUACAUUUUUUGGUAGCUUGAAGUCCUUUGCUGCCCUCGCUAUUGUUAAGACAGCUGAAUGAAAAUUAUGCCUGGAAAAAAUUGACCCACCCACAGUACAAAAAUAAGACUAAAUGCUUGUGAAAGUGUGCAGACCUGGGCAACACAGGUGCCCUUACCAAAGCUUAGCACAUAAACACACACACACACAAAAAAAAACACUUGACAUUUCAAAGAUUUUGUAUUCUGAUCAUUGCAAAAUUUAUGACAGAGAAUGUACAAACUUUGGUUCUCACAGAAUACAACAAUGCAAGACAUAAAAAUAGGCCAUAAUAGUCUAUAAAAUAUAUUUUUCCUUAUAUUGUUUCAUAUUUCAUUAGUAUUAAGUAUUAAAACAUCCUUAAAAAUACUUAAAGCAAUGGCCCAAGGUUUGGGGAAUAUAUUUCCUGGUAAGGUAGAUAUGUUCCUUCAUGUAAUUUAUCCUUCAUCUAAUACUUUGUUUAUUGAGCUCCCAUGUUGCUACGUGGCAGGUUACUUCAUGUUGGCAUCUUGAUGCAUCUGUACAAAUUAUGAAGCCCUUUUUUUAAUUGAUGAUGAAUGCCUUCACAGUAAGUUUUGCAUGUAGUCAACUGCAUGAAUCACUAGCAAUGUCUCAUUGUCUCAAACAUAUUUGACUUUAAAAAAGAGCUAAAACUGCUUUAAACUCAACACUUAUAAAUUCUAGUGAGUCAUGGUUUAAACAUCGUUUUUAUACAAAAAUAGAGAAGGUAAUAUUACUACAAGUUAUUUGGUUAAAUACAGUUCUCAGUGAAACCAUUAAAAGGGUAUUUUUAAACUUGUGCCCCCAGAGCUUUAAAGAAAGUAUAUCUAGAUUAAUUUGUAUACAAUUAACUUGGCUUAGUGUUUUAAGUAAGUCACACCAUUCUGUUUGGACCAGGAUCCCUGACACUCCAACAGACACAUGUUCAGUUUCUGCAGACAUACUCCGUCCAUUGUGAUAAGGACAAGUGGAAUUACAUACUUAGCUCAUCCAAAGUAUGUUGGAGAUCAUCAUGAAUGUUGGAUAAACCAAAAGCAGAGUCCUUCUCACACCAGCACUGACCAUCAUGCUCUGAUGGGCAUUAAAAAGUCAGCACUGAUGCUAGUGCUGGUUUGACAGAAGCCAUGACAGCAGUACCAUGCAGAACGCAGUGAUGAGACUGAUGCUGUGGCUUACUCCAUUUGCGGUUAUCAUUAUAGCUGUAAAUGAGUGGAAAGUACAAUGAAGCUUUAGUAAAAGAAUUAUGUAUACUUCAAAAUAUACUUCAAAACAUUUUCAACAAGCAGCACAUUAUAUUCCUUACUUAUGCCAUUCACAGUGAUAGAGUUUGUUUCUAUGUCAAAGCCAGAAACAGUGGAAGACGCAUUGAAAAACACUGCUCCAAUCUCGUUGCCACUUGGAACUGAUGUGCUAAUAAAGCCCAUCUGCAGCUGGUUGAUAAUUGAUCCUGAUCUGUGGGGACAAAAGGAAACAUAAUUGCUCCACAUACAAGAUCAGGCAACUUAUUGUAAUUUGUAAUAUGGUCUCUCCCAAAAAUUACCUGUAUGCUGUCACAUCAAUGGUUUUAAAUGAGUCGAAUGCCUUCUGAAACAAAGGUUUAAGCUGCCAAAACAGAAAAUAAAUUGUAUUAUACAUUUCUUCUGUCAUUUAAAAAUGCCUUUCCACGUGUAAGGUACUUUGACUAACUUGACCUUUUAUUUGUGGACAGUCUGAGGCAAGAUUAUCCCAUUUUCCUCAUAAUUUGCAUGAUUUACUGUGGACUAGUUCACCUUUUUAAGGACAGGGGAAACAAGCUAUACUUGGUUCCUCAAUAGCUUUUCAGAGUUUGGAAACAAAUUAUGUUUUGAGGUCUUUAUCUCUGAUCAAGCAAUUAUGACUAUGUAUCAGUCAUAUAACAUGCUAUAAGUGGUAGACUGAGAGUUAGACAAAAGUUUUGUUUCUAUGCCAAAAUCUGGAUGAUCAAAGUCCAAAUAGCACCCUUUUUCUUUAUAAACAGAUCCAUGGUAAGUCUUCUUGUCCCCCACUGUUUUGUAAAGAGAAGCAAGACCAAGCAAAUAAUCUUAAUCUUUCCUAAUUCACAAGACACAAUCACAAGUACAGUUAAGGUUUAGAGUAUGAGGUCUUAGUCCAACAAUUAAGUUCCUUGGGUACAAAGUUGAGCUUCUGUAUAAAGUAAAGGGUGUACCAGUUGUUUCUGUGGUGAUGUCUGAGACUUACCUGUGAUAUUAUUAAUUGUGAACGUUUUUGAGCAGCUGCAGAUGAUAGAUUCCCCAAAUCACUUGUGAAAUUCUGCUGAAGGGAUCUGAAACUUGCAUUAACGAGUUUAAUUCCAGUAGUUGUGGGCGCAGCAGUGGCAGGUGUGGCAGUUGUAUUUGCAUCUGGAACUGGACCCUCUAUUCAUAUAGUUUUUUUUUUUUAGAAAUAAAGUAAUGAUUGUUUUAUUUAAUCGACAAUAGUUCCAGAUUCACAGUCUUAAUGAGAAUGUGCAGGAUAUACAUCUUGUUUUGUUUACUCACCCUGGACUAUAAAAGAACUGGCAACAAAGCUACUGUUGGUAUUACUUGCAGCUUCUAUGAAGGUCUCAGCAACAAGGGAAUUUGUUGGAAGAUCUGAGGCUGUGGUGUUUUGAUUGAAGAUGACAGCCAUUUCUGUACCAACACCAUCAUUUCGUGUUGUCACAGGUCUGUAUAAUGAAACCAAUGGAACAUCAGGCAGUUGUGUUGUUAAGAGUGACACUAACAAUGUAUAUAAGAAAGUCAUUAUCAUAUUUAUAAGGCAAGGUCAGUUAAUAGAGUUAAAAAGAUUUAUUUACCUAAACCUUAUCAAUAGACACCUCAAAAAUAGAUUCCCAAAGGUCUUUCUGUAAACUCUAUCACACUGUAAAAAAAUAAGAAAAACACCCAAGGAAAAGUGACAUUAGGAUUAAAUCCAUUGUUUGAAUCAAUCUCUCUUAAAAAUUUGUGCAUAAAACUGAUGUUAAAUAAAACUUUGGAAAUACUUACUUCAUCCUCAGAUUCUCUUUUAAGGUCUUUAAAUUUAAGGCUUUCUGGAUUUUCCAGAUCAGCUGUAAAGAUUACACCUCUUAAUAUAGCAAAAAGUUUAUACUGUGGAGCAGCUGUAGCUGUUGAAGCAACUUUAGUUGUUUUAAUAGUUGUGGCUGGUGCAGCUGUUGAAGCAGCUUUAGUUGAUUUAGCAGCUGUAGCUGUUGAAGCAGCUGUAGUUGUUUUAAUAGUUGUGGCUGGUGCAGCUGUUGAAGCAGCUUUAGUUGAUUUAGGAGCUGUAGCUGUUGAAGCAGCUUUAGUUGUUUUAAUAGUUGUGGCUGGUGCAGCUGUUGAAGCAGCUUUAGUUGAUUUAGCAGCUGUAGCUGUUGAAGCAGCUGUAGUUGUUUUAAUAGUUGUGGCUGGUGCAGCUGUUGAAGCAGCUUUAGUUGAUUUAGCAGCUGUAGCUGUUGAAGAAGCUGUAGUUGAUUUAGUAACUGUGGUCGUAAUGGUGGUUGUAGGGGUGGUUGUUGUGGUUGUUGGAGUGGAUGUAAUAAUUGUUGUUGCUGGUGUUGUUACUGUUGUGGUUCUUCGAGCAGCUGUUGUUUUUGUUGUUGUUGGGACAGCUAUCGUUGUUGUUGUUGGGGCAGCUGUUGUUGUUGCUUGAGAGGUUGUUGUGGUUGUUGGAUUAGUUGUGGUGGUUGUUGUAGCGGUUGUUGUUGUGGGUGUUGGAGCAGCUGUUGUGGUUAUUGGCUUAGUUGUUGUGGGUGUUGUAGCAGCUGUUGUUGUGGUUGUUGAAACAGUUGUGGUGGUUGUUGUAGGGGUGGUUGUUGUGGGUGUGGUUGUGGUUGUUGGAGCAGCUGUUUUUGUUGUUGUUGGGGCAGCUGUUGUCGUUGCUUGAGAGGUUGUUGUGGUUGUUGGAUUAGUUGUUGUGGUUGUUGUUGUAGGGAUGGUUGUUGAUGUUGGAGUAGCUGUUGUGGUUUCUGAAGUGGUUGUAAUGGUUGUUGUAGGCGUGGUUCUUGUUGUUGGAGUAGCUGUUGUGGUUUUUGAAGUGGUUGUAAUGGUUGUUGUAGGGGUUGUUGCUGGAGUGGAUGUAAUAAUUGUUGUUGUUGAUGUUGUUACUGUUGUGGUUGUUGAAGCAGCUGCUGUUGUUGUUGGGGGAGCUGUUGUUUUUGUUGUUGUUGGGGCAGCUGUUGUUGUUGUUGUUGUUGUUGGGGCAGGUGUUGUUGUUGUUGUUGUUGUUGUUGGGGCAGUUGUUGUUGUUGUGGUGUUGUUGUUGUUGGGGCAGGUGUUGUUGUUGGGGCAGGUGUUGUUGUUGUUGUUGGGGAAGGUGUUGUUGUUGUUGUUGUUGUUGGGGCAGGUGUUGUUGUUGUUGUUGGGGCAGGUGUUGUUGUUGUUGUUGGGGAAGGUGUUGUUGUUGUUGUUGUUGGGGCAGGUGUUGUUGUUGUUGUUGGGGCA